RNAcentral lists this ribosomal RNA (524 nucleotides) under uncultured bacterium. RNAcentral's name for it is "partial 16S ribosomal RNA". It matches the Rfam family "Bacterial small subunit ribosomal RNA", at positions 28 to 523 of the family's 1533-position model. The record is from RNAcentral.
GACGAACGCUGGCGGCGUGCCUAAUACAUGCAAGUCGAGCGCAGGAAACUGACGGAACUCUUCGGAGGGAAGGCAGUGGAAUGAGCGGCGGACGGGUGAGUAACACGUAAGGAACCUGCCUCAAGGAUUGGGAUAACUCCGAGAAAUCGGAGCUAAUACCGGAUAGUUCAACGGACCGCAUGGUCCGCUGAUGAAAGGCGCUCCGGCGUCACCUUGAGAUGGCCUUGCGGUGCAUUAGCUAGUUGGUGGGGUAACGGCCCACCAAGGCGACGAUGCAUAGCCGACCUGAGAGGGUGAUCGGCCACACUGGGACUGAGACACGGCCCAGACUCCUACGGGAGGCAGCAGUAGGGAAUCUUCCACAAUGGACGAAAGUCUGAUGGAGCAACGCCGCGUGAGUGAUGAAGGUUUUCGGAUCGUAAAACUCUGUUGUAAGGGAAGAACACGUACGAGAGGAAAUGCUCGUACCUUGACGGUACCUUACGAGAAAGCCACGGCUAACUACGUGCCAGCAGCCGCCGUAA